UCCUAGUACGCACCGCAACGGGCAGGAGUGGGGGACCCACCAUCCGGGCGUCUCUGACGCCCUUGGGGUUAAGCAGGCUCGUCCCAGCCAUCCGGUGUGGGGAGAACGUUUCCCACGCAGUACCGACGGCCAGGGGCGGACCGGCCGGGCCAUCCCAGCCCGCACCCGACAGCUCACCCCGCAGGCGAUCGGGAUUGGACUG
Frankia alni is the source of this 202-nucleotide regulatory RNA element. It matches the Rfam family "c-di-AMP riboswitch aptamer (ydaO/yuaA leader)". Rfam says of the family: This family represents a conserved RNA structure found upstream of the ydaO and yuaA genes in Bacillus subtilis and related genes in other bacteria. The record is from Rfam. NCBI's taxonomy places the organism in Bacteria, Bacillati, Actinomycetota, Actinomycetes, Frankiales, Frankiaceae.